UACGUAGGGGGCAAGCGUUGUCCGGAAUUAUUGGGCGUAAAGCGCGCGCAGGCGGUUCUUUAAGUCUGAUGUGAAAUCUCGCGGCUCAACCGCGAGCGGUCAUUGGAAACUGGGGAACUUGAGUGCAGAAGAGGAGAGUGGAAUUCCACGUGUAGCGGUGAAAUGCGUAGAUAUGUGGAGGAACACCAGUGGCGAAAGCGGCUCUCUGGUCUGUAACUGACGCUGAGGCGCGAAAGCGUGGGGAGCAAACAGG
This 253-nucleotide ribosomal RNA is filed under the name uncultured organism. Its description in RNAcentral is "partial 16S ribosomal RNA". It matches the Rfam family "Bacterial small subunit ribosomal RNA", at positions 524 to 776 of the family's 1533-position model. The record is from RNAcentral.